Molecule: ribosomal RNA, 253 nt
Filed under: uncultured bacterium
Lineage: Bacteria
Description: partial 16S ribosomal RNA
Rfam family: Bacterial small subunit ribosomal RNA
Source: RNAcentral
UACGAAGGGGGCUAGCGUUGCUCGGAAUCACUGGGCGUAAAGCGCACGUAGGCGGCUUUCUAAGUCAGGGGUGAAAUCCUGGAGCUCAACUCCAGAACUGCCUUUGAUACUGAGAAGCUUGAGUUCGGGAGAGGUGAGUGGAACUGCGAGUGUAGAGGUGAAAUUCGUAGAUAUUCGCAAGAACACCAGUGGCGAAGGCGGCUCACUGGCCCGAUACUGACGCUGAGGUGCGAAAGCGUGGGGAGCAAACAGG